RNAcentral lists this long non-coding RNA (1094 nucleotides) under Anolis carolinensis (green anole). Its description in RNAcentral is "lncRNA (ENSACAG00000033514.2)". Lineage: Eukaryota; Metazoa; Chordata; Lepidosauria; Squamata; Anolidae. The record is from RNAcentral.
GUGAAAAAAUGUUAUCUGUACGACAGCCAAUAAAAGGCCUGGUGGUGUCCAUGCUCUGGCUGAGAAUGGACCCAAACGGUGAGUACAAUUUCCAGAACCCUCUCUUGCAGUUUGUUUUAUUUUUAAAAAUUUUAUGGUUAAAACUUUAAAUAAUUCUUUAAAAAAGGAGAUUGGUGAAUUGCUUUGAAACUUGGCAUGCCUACAGUUGUAAAUGGGGUCUAAAACAGAGGUAGGUUUCAUGUAGAUAUGCCUUAAAAUGACUGAAGAUUGGGCUUUUAAAGUUUCCCAUUGUAGCCAAUGGGCUGAAUCUUUGCUGAAUGAAAAUGGCAACACCCCUCCCGAUUCAAGUAACUUCCCAAUAAACAGAAUGAGGGGUUAGCUGAUAAUUGACCUCAAAACAACAUGACUUUUUGCCAAAUUGCGCACCUCUAAUCUCCAGAGACUGGCAGAAUAUUAUUUGGGACUUCUUUACAGAUUACCAAGAAGGGAAGUAGAUGUUCUAAAAUAUAAGAUAUGUGACCAAAACUAACAGACUGGCAUCUCUUUUCCUCUUUCUUUGUAGUGACAGAUAAAACUGAACAUGAGGUUCUCUUUUGCUCUCUUGGUCUGUGACAACCAAUGAUGUGCAGCUUUGCUGGAAAAACCUGGUAGAUGUUGAGGUCCACUUGUACAGUUUUCUUUUACCAGAUGUUACUUCUCAAGAAGGGAAGUGGAAAUGUGGCCUGCUAUAUAUAAUAUCUACUUUUGUUCUAAAAUGCAUCAGAAAAUAUGUGCUGCAUAAUAUAUGUGGCAGUGAGUGAGUGCCUUUUUAUCCUGGAUAUGUGCAUUCAGAAGCCAUUAAUACACUGUAAAAUAAAUAUUUUCUGGACAUGAUAACAGAUUUUUUGACAAAUGUAUUUCUGCAUUACGAAAUAUACAUUGUGAAGCAGUCUUGAAAGGAUAUGUGGAUAAGAGCUGGAACCUUUACAUUGUCUGGAAAAUCCCCUCUAACAGGAGCCACAAGGACCAUAUGUAGGACCACAUGAAGAGAUGAGCUGUAAAUGGGAAUUGCAUAGCAGCAAUUGCAGCCAGAAUUGAGGGGCGGGGCAGGCAUA